GCAGGAGGGUGCACUCGUUUUUCGGAAUCACUGGGCGUAACGCGCGUGUAGGCGGUUCGAUAAGUCGGACGUGAAAGCCCGGGGCUUAACCCCGGAAGGGCAUCCGAAACUGUCGAGCUUGAGUACGGGAGAGGGAAGCGGAAUUCCUGGUGUAGAGGUGAAAUUCGUAGAUAUCAGGAGGAACACCGGUGGCGAAGGCGGCGUCCUGGACCGAUACUGACGCUGAGACGCGAAAGCGUGGGGAGCAAACAGGAUGAGAUAACCGCGUAGUCC
RNAcentral lists this ribosomal RNA (273 nucleotides) under uncultured bacterium. RNAcentral's name for it is "partial 16S ribosomal RNA". It matches the Rfam family "Bacterial small subunit ribosomal RNA", at positions 524 to 796 of the family's 1533-position model. The record is from RNAcentral.